CGCGCGCAAAUACAUACACACACAUGUACAUGAAAAACCCUAGACAUUGAAUCCAACAUUCUAAUAAUUCAUUUGUCUCAUGUAAGAUUUCUUUUUUAAAAAAAAAAAAAUCGUUUAUUUUUUUUUAUUUGACAGUAUUUCUAUUACCUGUUGAAAAUAUUCCGUUUUCGUUGUUGAUUUUCAUUCUUUGGAAUUUACAAGGCGGAGGAGGAAAAUUGGAAUUCCCAUAAUACCCCUCGGUUGAAGCAGCUGAUGAAUCUCCUACAACUGAUUGUGAAAAAAAGAAAACUUUCGGAGGAGGCAUCGUCAUAUGAUGAGUUGAGUGAAGCAGCGAAACCGAGUGAUUUAGCAUGUAAUUUUGAUGUGCUGAAGUUUGAUGGAGAAAAUUGCAGAAAGGCAAUUGCUAGGACGGUAAUGGUAAAACAUUUACUUUUUAAUGUUCUGUAACUGCACUUUGUCAUAGUUUUAGUCUGCACUUUGCGCUAGUUUUAAUCUCCCAGAUUCGAUAACUGUUGGUAUAUUAGAGGCAGCAAUUGAAAACACUGUUUAGGGAGGAUCCCCAAAGGGUACCUAUGUCUCAAUUAAAUGGCUAGUGAAUGGCAGUUGCAUAGGAAGAUGCUGAAUUUUCUUUUUUACUUCCGGAUAAGGGCCGGGGAGACCAUUGGGAAGCUAAUUGAGAGUUCUUUGCUUGACUUGGGAUAUUAAACAGGUAUUGGCAAUUACGGUUGAUAAUUCAAGUGUUUACGGUGAUGCUAUUAGUUAUGUCAAGAGGUAGUUGAACGAUUGGAGUGGAAAUGCGCUGUUGUUGGAUGGUGAGCGGAGGUUUUCUUAUGAUAACCCUAAGGUUGAAGAGAUGAUCAAAGAGGUUAAAGAGCCCUUGUCGCGUCUUUAUGAGUUGUACGGUGCAUUGAACACUUCCGGUGACACCAAAGCUCCUAUCGAUGCUCAAGCAAGUGGAACGGAUAUGGAAAAUGGAAAAGACAGAGAUGAUUCUGAGUGGAGGUCUUCUUAUAAGAAGUAUUUGAAAGGAAAAUAUGGCACUAAGCUGACAAUUCAAGAUGAUAGGUACUUGUCGGGAACUAAUGAGUUUUUCGAAUGGCAACUUCAAACAAUCUAAAAUGGUGGAAAGUAUGUUCUCAGAAGUACCCUAUUUUAAUAGCGAGGGACCUAUUUUUUAUUCGAGUAUCUGAGUUUUCAUUUAACACUGAUGGGCGGAUUCUUGAUUUGUUUCAAAGUUCAUUGGGCCUUGAGACAGUUCAGGCGGUAAUAGGUUUACAUAAUUGGUUACAAUCCUCUGCUGCUCGUGUAGAUAAUUUCACCCAGGAGAUGGAGAUUAAUGAUUUAAUUGAAUCUGGUAACAAUUUAAAGGCUUGUUGCAAUUUGUCUUUAUUUAUUCAGUACUUUUUUAAUUAGUUCCUAUAAUGUUUUCUCUUUUUGCCUCGUUUGUUUCAAGUAGAGCUUUAAGGAUCAUGACAAGGAAUGGAGCAUAUGGCAUAUGGCUAUGAAUUAAUAUGAUAUCCUUGCUAAUUGUUUUAAUAAGGUACUUAUUGACUUCUUAAGAUUUAAGUAUUCUGUUUAUCUUAUCUUAUGCCUAACAUAUUUUGCUUUCAUUUUGUUUUUUAGUUGGCGGGUAAUGUUUUAAGGAUUGGAAACUAUGAGGUUCUGAAUUUCAAAUUUUGAAACGGGAUCAUGCAUGCUUGGGGGCUUAGAAGUGAUGUUGGAGUGUGGAUUGAGGAAACAAAUACAUCUGGAUUGGAAUGCUUGGCUUUGAUGCAUUGAAGUCAAUAGGUAUGUAUCUAUAGUGUUCUUCAUCUGGUCUACUCUGAUUCUCAUUCUAUAUAUUAUAAAACCACUCAUAGUGAUAUAACAAUGACAUAUUGAUUUGGUCGAGUUUUCAUCUUUAAUUUUCCCAGAUAUUUGAUCUCAAGUGAGAAAUGAAUGGUAAAACACCAUACCACCUGUUCUUUCAAAUACAAGUCAGUAAGGAUCAUCUCAGUAUCAAAUAUAUAUAUAUAUAUAUAUAUUCACAUUUUAUUUGGCUGAAACCAAAGUUGUAUAAUAAGCGCAAUUUUUUUGAAAAAAAUAUAAGAAUUUAAUCCUGAACUUAUAACCAAUCCCUGAACUGCAUUGGUUUGGAUCAACUCUGUUUGAGCUUCAAAUUUGGGUUGGUUUGGUUUGAACUCUCAGACAGCCCAAACAGCUGAGAUGCCAUAGGUUUCUAAUUCCAGCCAACCUAAUUCAUGCUUACUCUUGGUAAGUCCCAGAUAUACGUUACAAAUACAACAAUAUCAAGAAGUUUUAGUGGAAGUAUAAAUGCAGUUGAUAAAUAGAUUGUCCCUACAAGUUUGUUUCUAGCUCUAACCAACCUAAUUCAUGGUUACUUUUACAAAAACACAAUGUUUGGUGUACACAUAUAUACUUUCUGUUCCAUCAUCGACUAACUAAAAGAAUUCUUUGCGCAUGUUUUACUGCUUGAUUUUAAACUAUUUAGUCUUCCGCAGCCUUAUGUUAUUGAAGGAGAAUUGAAUUACUUAUCCUCACUCCCACAAAAACUUUUCUAGAGCAAGAGAAUUGCUCAAUUUUCAUUGUUGCUUAACUGCUUUUAUUGGAUCAUCAUUUAUAUUCUCGGUCUGUAUCCUUUCUCUGAAGUCUUAAAUUAUUGCUGGUACAAAUGUGUUGCUGAUCUUAACCACAGAUCCAGCUCUUUAACUUUUGUGGGAGAAGCUGGAUUGAAUCAACAAAACUUAGGUCCAGCCAUUUCGCAUGUUUCCAGUUGCUUUCACUUCAAAUUUUAUGUACUUAAAUCUUUUGAAAGACCCUGAUCAGUGUACAUUGUACAACAAAAUUGACAACUCAGCUUUAAUUCUAUUUAAUUAAGGCGUUCUAAUUGAGUAUGGCUAGUUCUGGUCUCUGGGUUCUGAAUUCAUUUAACCUCAAGAUUUCUAUGGUAUAUUUAUUUGUUUGGCCAUAUAUUGCUGAUGUACAACUGAACGUAAAAGAUUUCUGUAAUCUUACACAAUGAUAAUGAUCUAGAGGACUCAUUUUCCAACUAACAGAUUCCAUUCUCUAUCUUUGGCUAGAAUUUCCUCUCCAUUAUUUGGAUGGUGAUUUGACAACUACCUGGGGGGGGAAAAUAUCACUGAUCCUUUCAAGAUGAAAGGACUGAGAACCCGCAACCACCAUUAAUUGCUGGUAAUUUGAUUGAUUAAUCAUCCAGAUUGAAUUCAAGCUGAAGCUAGGUUGAAAACAAUUAGGUACUGUAUGUUAAAAAAAAUCUAGCUGGUGUGGCUUAAAAUUUGGGCUUAAUUUUGAAUUAUUUUCCUCAUGAAAUCGCAAUUUUUAAAAUAUCUUAAGUUAUUGUAAACAUAUUUAUUUCUCUUUUUUUUUUAAGGAAAUUUAAAUUUUUAUCAACAGGUCA
Molecule: long non-coding RNA, 3418 nt
Filed under: Citrus maxima (pomelo)
Lineage: Eukaryota; Viridiplantae; Streptophyta; Magnoliopsida; Sapindales; Rutaceae
Description: long non-coding RNA (CMAX_LNC000794)
Source: RNAcentral